Molecule: non-coding RNA, 72 nt
Organism: Corticium candelabrum
Lineage: Eukaryota; Metazoa; Porifera; Homoscleromorpha; Homosclerophorida; Plakinidae
Source: the annotation of a RefSeq genome assembly
GGCCUGUUGGUCUAGGGGCAUGAUACUCGCUUAGGGUGCGAGUGGUCCCGGGUUCGACUCCCGGACAGGCCC